This is a non-coding RNA of Phalacrocorax carbo (great cormorant), 983 nucleotides long. NCBI's taxonomy places the organism in Eukaryota, Metazoa, Chordata, Aves, Suliformes, Phalacrocoracidae. The record is from RefSeq and is a predicted model, not a curated record.
GUUAAGGUACUGCUGUGCAACCAGGCGACUUGUUUGGUAUUGGUUUUGGAGAUGCCGAGGGACGAGUCGUGCAGGGCGACGGAGGGGAACCGAGGGGACCGAUGUAAGCGGGUGAGGUGGUGCGUGGUGUAUAUAGAGGGAAGAUGUGACCGAUGGCUCUAUGACUCCGUUGCUCCUUGCGUUUGUCUUUUGUUUUGGGUUUGAAGUAGCGUAGCAAUGAGCAAAGGAGGCAAGUCGAGCAAGGCGAGUGGUGAUUGGUGGGCUGAAGUAGCAGCUCUUUUCUGAGGUGUUGUGUUGCUGGGGAAGUUAUAAGCAAUGCGUGUUGUUUGGGUGUUACGGACGGCGGGCGAGCUGGACACGGCACCUGGAAGUGGCGUAGGCUGGGAGGGAGGCUGUCGAGGGAAAGGGGUGCGAGACGGGGAUCGGUGCGGGCAGGCUGUGGCAUCGGGCAGCAUCUCGGGAGGUGCCUUUUCGCUUGGCUUUUUGCAGGUGCCGCUGGCAGGCUCGGAGUGGUGCUGCCGCGUGCCUAUGAGAGGUCUGAGAAGGUGGGGCAGCGGCCAGCAUCUGAGACCAGAGAAUGCUGUGGUCCGUCGUCGAGCUCUUCAGUUCUGUAGUUUGACACGCUUCGCUUCAGGCUUCAUGGAGCCAGGCAGCAAGACGUGCGGCGGCAGGGCGAGGGCUGUAGCUGCUGCGGUGGAUCUGUAAGCGGAGGUUCCGGUUCCGGUACAACUUUGCCCCGCAGCCUCACGGGGUUAUCUCCCCGCAGCGGUGCCGUAAGGAAGGGAUGAGACGUUUUCCAGCACCAGCCAGAGCGUUCAGUGUUACGCAAAGAAUCUGUUCAAAAUGGUAUCGAUGUCUUCUCAGUGUCUCGUGAUGCUCAAGAGAUGCCCCCCGGCCCGGGUUUGCCUGCUGGUCGUUAAGCGUGGUGAAGGUAAGGGGCCAUCCCUCUGCCUGGGGGCUCCCGGCUCUGUCUCCAGCGGGUG